This 1243-nucleotide ribosomal RNA is filed under the name Nocardia puris. RNAcentral's name for it is "bacterial SSU rRNA". It matches the Rfam family "Bacterial small subunit ribosomal RNA", at positions 92 to 1350 of the family's 1533-position model. Lineage: Bacteria; Bacillati; Actinomycetota; Actinomycetes; Mycobacteriales; Nocardiaceae. The record is from RNAcentral.
CGAGCGGCGAACGGGUGAGUAACACGUGGGUGAUCUGCCCUGCACUCUGGGAUAAGCCUGGGAAACUGGGUCUAAUACCGGAUAUGACCUCUGGUUGCAUGACCGGGGGUGGAAAGAUUUAUCGGUGCAGGAUGGGCCCGCGGCCUAUCAGCUUGUUGGUGGGGUAAUGGCCUACCAAGGCGACGACGGGUAGCCGGCCUGAGAGGGCGACCGGCCACACUGGGACUGAGACACGGCCCAGACUCCUACGGGAGGCAGCAGUGGGGAAUAUUGCACAAUGGGCGGAAGCCUGAUGCAGCGACGCCGCGUGAGGGAUGACGGCCUUCGGGUUGUAAACCUCUUUCGACAGGGACGAAGCGCAAGUGACGGUACCUGUAGAAGAAGCACCGGCCAACUACGUGCCAGCAGCCGCGGUAAUACGUAGGGUGCGAGCGUUGUCCGGAAUUACUGGGCGUAAAGAGCUUGUAGGCGGCUUGUCGCGUCGAUCGUGAAAACUUGGGGCUCAACCCCAAGCUUGCGGUCGAUACGGGCAGGCUUGAGUACUGCAGGGGAGACUGGAAUUCCUGGUGUAGCGGUGAAAUGCGCAGAUAUCAGGAGGAACACCGGUGGCGAAGGCGGGUCUCUGGGCAGUAACUGACGCUGAGAAGCGAAAGCGUGGGUAGCGAACAGGAUUAGAUACCCUGGUAGUCCACGCCGUAAACGGUGGGCGCUAGGUGUGGGUUUCCUUCCACGGGAUCCGUGCCGUAGCUAACGCAUUAAGCGCCCCGCCUGGGGAGUACGGCCGCAGGCUAAAACUCAAAGGAAUUGACGGGGGCCCGCACAAGCGGCGGAGCAUGUGGAUUAAUUCGAUGCAACGCGAAGAACCUUACCUGGGUUUGACAUACACCGGAAACCUGCAGAGAUGUAGGCCCCCUUGUGGUCGGUGUACAGGUGGUGCAUGGCUGUCGUCAGCUCGUGUCGUGAGAUGUUGGGUUAAGUCCCGCAACGAGCGCAACCCUUGUCCUGUGUUGCCAGCAAGUGAUGUUGGGGACUCGCAGGAGACUGCCGGGGUCAACUCGGAGGAAGGUGGGGACGACGUCAAGUCAUCAUGCCCCUUAUGUCCAGGGCUUCACACAUGCUACAAUGGCCGGUACAGAGGGCUGCGAUACCGUGAGGUGGAGCGAAUCCCUUAAAGCCGGUCUCAGUUCGGAUCGGGGUCUGCAACUCGACCCCGUGAAGUUGGAGUCGCUAGUAAUCGCAGAUC